RNAcentral lists this non-coding RNA (28 nucleotides) under Mus musculus (house mouse). The record is from RNAcentral. Lineage: Eukaryota; Metazoa; Chordata; Mammalia; Rodentia; Muridae.
UAGUUCUGGAAAGUCUCUAAAUGUACUA